This 254-nucleotide ribosomal RNA is filed under the name uncultured bacterium. Its description in RNAcentral is "partial 16S ribosomal RNA". It matches the Rfam family "Bacterial small subunit ribosomal RNA", at positions 524 to 776 of the family's 1533-position model. The record is from RNAcentral.
UACGUAGGGGGCAAGCGUUGUCCGGAGUUACUGGGCGUAAAGCGCACGCAGGCGGUCUUUUUAAGUUUGGAGUGACAGUUGGUGGCUUAACUGCCAAAGUGCUUCGAAAACUGAGAGACUUGAGGGCUUCAGAGGGACACGGAAUUCCCGGUGUAGCGGUGAAAUGCGUAGAGAUCCGGAGGAACACCAGUGGCGAAGGCGACACGCUGGGCCGUACCUGACACUGAUGCGCGACAGCAUGGGGAGCAAACAGG